GUGUGUGUUUGCAGCAGAUGUGAGCGUGGAGCGAGUGCAGCAGCAUUUCAAUUCACGUUUCCCGAGAAUGCAGCGAUGUUGAUCCUGAAGGUAAAGCCUGACGUUUUGUGCUAACACUAGCAGCUACUUUUCAGAAUACCAUCAAACUUGUGAAGAAAUAGAGCUCCAAAGUAUGAUGCUGCCACCACCAUGCUUCAUUAUUGGCAUCCAUCCGGGACUACCUUUGAUGACACUGGAGCGUUGAUUGCUUCAAACACUCACAAUGACCAAUUGAACAACCUUCAGUAUGUUGAAACUCCGACAGGGAAUGACAACAGGGGACAACUGUGGCCCUCGGCUUUCUCUUGUUCUCAGGGGCAACAAUCAAAGCUGCAUUGCAUGCGAAGGACUCAAGAGUUAAUGUUUGGAGGAAAUUUGAGCAUUAUUAUCGCUGUUUGUUUUCUGCCAACUGAGGACGGCCCACUCCACAUGAUACCUUUUGUAGACUUGUGGAGCUGCCUUAUUUAGAGCCUCGUAUUUUCAUGAUGAGUCAUUAAACUUGCACAGGCGUGACAUGUCGCUAAAUGUUGCCGAUCCGUCGUUCGGCAGCUGCGUGGGGAUUCGUCCGUCAUCAUCAGUCCGUCAUUAUUUCAAUCCGAACCAAACUGUAAUCGUCAUUCCGACCAGUCCUUCAAUCGUAGGUGUGUCAAAAAGAAAACAAAAAAAAAACAGUCCACCAGAUGAAAAAAUCACAUUUGAUGAAAAUAGUGGCCUGGUGAUCCAGUGGUUAGCGCGUCAACCUCACAAUGCAGAGCUACCCGGCUCAAUUCCAGCUCCAGCCUCCUUGUGUGGAGUUUGCAUGUUCUCCCGGGACCGUGUGGGUUUUCUCCGGGUACUUCGGUUUCCUCCCACAUUCCAAAAACAUGCAUGGCAGGUUGAUUGAACACUCUAAAUUGUCCCUAGGUGUGAGUGUGAGCGUGGAUGGUUGUUCGUCUCUGUGUGCCCUGCGAUUGGCUGGCAACCGAUUCAGGGUGUCCCCCGCCUACUGCCCGAAGACAGCUGGGAUAGGCUCCAGCACCCCCCGCGACCCUAGUGAGGAUCAAGCGGCUCGGAAGAUGAAUGAA
Molecule: long non-coding RNA, 1103 nt
Organism: Hippocampus zosterae (dwarf seahorse)
Lineage: Eukaryota; Metazoa; Chordata; Actinopteri; Syngnathiformes; Syngnathidae
Exons: 4
Source: RefSeq, a predicted model, not a curated record